UACGUAGGGGCCUAGCGUUGUCCGGAUUUAUUGGGCGUAAAGAGCUCGUAGGCGGUUUGUCGCGUCGAAUGUGAAAACCCGGGGCUCAACCCCGGGCCUGCAUUCGAUACGGGCAGACUAGAGUUCGGUAGGGGAGUCUGGAAUUCCUGGUGUAGCGGUGAAAUGCGCAGAUAUCAGGAGGAACACCGGUGGCGAAGGCGGGACUCUGGGCCGAUACUGACGCUGAGGAGCGAAAGCGUGGGGAGCAAACAGG
RNAcentral lists this ribosomal RNA (253 nucleotides) under uncultured bacterium. RNAcentral describes it as "partial 16S ribosomal RNA". It matches the Rfam family "Bacterial small subunit ribosomal RNA", at positions 524 to 776 of the family's 1533-position model. The record is from RNAcentral.